RNAcentral lists this ribosomal RNA (206 nucleotides) under uncultured bacterium. Its description in RNAcentral is "partial 16S ribosomal RNA". It matches the Rfam family "Bacterial small subunit ribosomal RNA", at positions 1287 to 1500 of the family's 1533-position model. The record is from RNAcentral.
CUCAGUUCGGAUUGGAGUCUGCAACCCGACUCCAUGAAGCUGGAUUCGCUAGUAAUCGCGCAUCAGCCACGGCGCGGUGAAUACGUUCCCGGGCCUUGUACACACCGCCCGUCAAGCCAUGGAAGCCGGGGGUGCCUGAAGUGCGCUGCCGCGAGGAGCGCCCUAGGGUAAAACCGGUGACUGGGGCUAAGUCGUAACAAGGUACC